RNAcentral lists this ribosomal RNA (1316 nucleotides) under metagenome. RNAcentral describes it as "bacterial LSU rRNA". It matches the Rfam family "Bacterial large subunit ribosomal RNA", at positions 1598 to 2925 of the family's 2925-position model. The record is from RNAcentral.
CGUCAAGCUUCCAAGAAAAGCCCUAUACCCGUUAAGGCAUGAUUACCUGUACCCGAAACCGACACAGGUGGGGUGGUAGAGAAUACCGAGGGUCGCGAGGUAACUCUCUCUAAGGAACUCGGCAAAAUGACCCCGUAACUUCGGGAGAAGGGGUGCCAGCGCGAGCUGGUCGCAGUGAAUAGGCCCAGGCGACUGUUUACCAAAAACACAGGUCUCCGCUAAGUCGCAAGACGAUGUAUGGGGGCUGACGCCUGCCCAGUGCCGGAAGGUUAAAGAAGUUGGUCAGCGCAAGCGAAGCUAACGACUGAAGCCCCGGUGAACGGCGGCCGUAACGAUAACGGUCCUAAGGUAGCGAAAUUCCUUGUCGGGUAAGUUCCGACCCGCACGAAAGGCGUAACGAUCUGGGCGCUGUCUCGGAGAGAGGCUCGGCGAAAUAGAAUUGUCUGUGAAGAUGCGGACUACGUGCACCCGGACAGAAAGACCCUAUGAAGCUUUACUGUAGCUUGGUAUUGUGCUCGGGCUCGCAAUGCGCAGGAUAGGUGGGAGGCUUUGAUCCAUUGCCUGUGGGUGAUGGUGAGCCACUGGUGAGAUACCACUCUUUGCGAGCUAGGGUUCUAACGGUUACCCGUCAUCCGGGAACCGGACAGUAUCUGGUGGGCAGUUUGACUGGGGCGGUCGCCUCCUAAAAGGUAACGGAGGCGCGCAAAGGUUUGCUCAGGCUGGUUGGAAAUCAGCCGACGAGUGUAAAAGCAGAAGCAAGCUUGACUGUGAGACCUACAAGUCGAACAGGGAGGAAACUCGGCUUUAGUGAUCCGACGGUUCUGAGUGGAAGGGCCGUCGCUCAACGGAUAAAAGUUACUCUAAGGAUAACAGGCUGAUCUCCCCCAAGAGUUCACAUCGACGGGGAGGUUUGGCACCUCGAUGUCGGCUCAUCGCAACCUGGGGCUGAAGUCGGUCCCAAGGGUUGGGCUGUUCGCCCAUUAAAGCGGUACGCGAGCUGGGUUCAGAACGUCGUGAGACAGUUCGGUCCAUAUCCGGUGCAUGCGCAGGAAUAUUGAGAGGAUUUCUCCCUAGUACGAGAGGACCGGGAGGAACGCACCUCUGGUGUACCAGUUAUCGUGCCAACGGUAAACGCUGGGUAGCCAUGUGCGGAGUGGAUAACCGCUGAAAGCAUCUAAGUGGGAAGCCCACCUCAAGAUGAGUAUUCCCAUGGCUUAAGCCAGUAAGGUCACGGGAAGAACACCCGUUGAUAGGCUCUAUGUGGAAGCGCAGUAAUGCGUGAAGCAGAGGAGUACUAAUAGACCGAGGGCUUGACC